RNAcentral lists this long non-coding RNA (2024 nucleotides) under Patiria miniata (bat star). RNAcentral's name for it is "uncharacterized LOC119720221". Lineage: Eukaryota; Metazoa; Echinodermata; Asteroidea; Valvatida; Asterinidae. The record is from RNAcentral.
UGUAACGUUUUAUAAAGGUGCUUUGACACUGAAUUUAAGUUGCAAUUAUGCUGUGCGUUACGAUCCAUGCUGUUGUGGUAUUGACAAAAACAUUGUGAUUACGAUUUACUGAAUGUGAAGUGAACAUAAUAUGUUUUAAUUAAUGAUGUUUUAUUUGAUAAUAAUUAACAUUUGGGUGCCGCCUUGCAUUAAUAAUGUAACUCAUGAAAUUUCGAACAUCAUCAUGUUUGUUUUGUCGUAGUAGGAAUAUAAUGUUUCCAGAUAUUUUUCUAAUGGUCUAAGAUGGAUGAGAUCGUGGUCAAAGCGCGACAGUUUCCCGCUCAUAUUCAUUGUUGAAUACUCAAUGUAUACAUGUACUUUAUUGCACACACCAACGUAACUAGAAAUAUGAUUCCUGUUCUCAGAGAAAAUAUUACCAUGGCGCAUGCGCAUCAGCAGAAAUUCCACGUCCAGACCGCGUGAUAGCUUAUUUGAAUUGCUCUGCUCAGUCGAGUCAGCAAUCGAGCAGCAGCAGCUCACUAUAACGGUCGCCGACUCGCCGUCCAGUUGAUGUGAAGUAGCCAUGGUCGCCAAGCAAGUUAUUUUCACUACAGCAUUUCUUAGAAGGUAGGCAGUACACAUGUAUGCUAUACGUGAGUGCACUGGCAGCAGGAUGUAGCAUGUUUAAACUUUUAACUUCAGCAGUCUUCGAGGGAGGAAGUUUCUAAUUAUUUUAAAAACCACCCCAUACAUCUCUUCAAGGUUGUUGCUGUACCUGCAUGACAUGACUUCGCAUGAACUUUUAGAAAUGGCAGCCGAUUGUGCUUGGUUAUCCAGAAGGGCCAAGAUUCAAGAUUCGUGUCUUUGGAGAAGUGCCAUAUUGACAAUUAACCUUGCUGAACAAGGAAUCCACUUACUUCUACAUCUGGAUAAUCUUCUGUUAAAGGUUCCAUUAAAUGAAUGUUACUCUAAAACAUAGAUUGGGCAAUUAGCCAAUCUUAAUGGAGGUACUCAAAGAAAAUCAUGUUGAAAUGUCAAUAUUUUAAAAUGCAGGUUUUUUGCGAGUUCCCUGCAUACAAAUAUAUCUUCACGAACAAACGCUAUUCAAGUAUCCCUUUCAAGUGUAAUUCUUUUUCAUAGACUCUAUAGCUACAAAAAAAACCAAAACAAUUCCUUUGAGUUUUCUUUUGAAGAUGUUCCAUGGGAGAGAAAGAAAAUGAAGGAUCUAGAUAGAGGACAGAUUUAAAAAGCAUGUGAUUCAGUAGAUUAAAAGUUGUCUGAUCUAUUUUAUUUGUUCGAUGUGAAAGUCGCCUUCCUAUACUAUAUUUCUUAUCACGGACAGUGGAAAAUACUAAUUUUCAAAUACUAUAUGAAACCAUUCUUUUGCCUGAAUGUACGUUACGUAUAGCACUGUGUAUUUUUCAUGAAUUGAUCCAAUACAUGAAUAGGUAUUCUCUAGUGUGGGUAACAUUGUGAUAUGGUACCCCUCUGAAGGUGAUGUAUAAAACCGGUUAGUGGUUAGUGGGUCGACGAUAAUAGCCCUUGCAUUCCGGCUCUGGCUAUAUUAUUGGCGACCAGACCCUUUAUCUUCUAAUUGCUCAGUAACAACGUUAUUGUCUUGUUAAAAGGUUGGUUCAUACUCUGUGAAGUUACGGCAAUUCACUUUGUGAAGUUACGGCAAUCAUUAACGCCAGCGCUAAAAAUUCUGGGGAAAAAAGAGUGAACCACAUUUAACUCUGGGCAAUUUUGAGUCAAAUGGUUUCGAUGUCAACAUUUCAAAAUUUGCUUUCACUUGAAGUAUGAACCGAUCGUUAGAGCUCAGCCCAGUCACUAAGGCGUGAAUUCCUUAAUGUGGAUUCAAGUAAAAGACUUUAAUUGUAUACCAUUCACGAAAUGGACCCUGUAGUAAUAUGUGCAUAUUGAUGUGUCUAAAUAAUUGCAGUGAGUAUUAAUUACACUUACCGUUUUAGUGAUUGCAUUUUAGUAAUGUUUUUACAUGCUGUUGUUUCUGAACACUCUUUGUAAUAAAAUUAGAGAAACAUGAA